AAUUUGUUAAUUUUUUUGCGAUAAAUUGUUGGCCCCAAUUUGGUCCAUAGCGUUAUUUAACUGAUUGAUAGCAACGAAAAUUGUAUCGCUUUUUUUUCGUCCAUUUCAGAUUCCUCAAAAAAUGUACACGAUCCUGACAUAAAAGAUUUUACUUCUUUCAACGAUAUUACAGGAACCUCCGUCUCCUCUUCCUCGUCAUCAUUGUCAUCAUUUUGCUGAUUGGCUGAUUGAAGCGUAGAAGCUGGGAUACAAAAAUGUAGAACAACAUCUUUUUUUUUCACCGGCUUCAACUGCCGCAAUCACUUUUUUUUUGUCGGCGAUCGACUAACACUUAUACUUUACGGGACCCAUAUUCCAACUGACUACGUUUUAUUCG
Molecule: non-coding RNA, 376 nt
Organism: Cinara cedri
Lineage: Eukaryota; Metazoa; Arthropoda; Insecta; Hemiptera; Aphididae
Source: the annotation of a GenBank genome assembly